This 520-nucleotide unclassified non-coding RNA is filed under the name uncultured Entrophospora. RNAcentral's name for it is "SSU rRNA". It matches the Rfam family "Eukaryotic small subunit ribosomal RNA", at positions 569 to 1085 of the family's 1831-position model. The record is from RNAcentral. Lineage: Eukaryota; Fungi; Glomeromycota; Glomeromycetes; Entrophosporales; Entrophosporaceae.
AGCAGCCGCGGUAAUUCCAGCUCCAAUAGCGUAUAUUAAAGUUGUUGCAGUUAAAAGCUCGUAGUUGAAUUUCGGGAUUGGCGCAUCGGUCGUGCCUCACGGGGUACGAACUGGUGCAGUCAAUUUCUCACCUUCUGGAGAACCGCGAUGUCCUUAAUUGGAUGCCGCGGGGAACCAGGACCUUUACUUUGAAAAAUUAGAGUGUUUAAAGCAGGCAUUUUUGCUUGAAUACAUUAGCAUGGAAUAAUAAAAUAGGACGGCAUGGUUCUAUUUUGUUGGUUUCUAGGACCACCGUAAUGAUUAAUAGGGAUAGUUGGGGGCAUUAGUAUUCAAUUGUCAGAGGUGAAAUUCUUGGAUUUAUUGAAGACUAACUACUGCGAAAGCAUUUGCCAAGGAUGUUUUCAUUAAUCAAGAACGAAAGUUAGGGAUCGAAGACGAUCAGAUACCGUCGUAGUCUUAACCAUAAACUAUGCCGACUAGGAAUCAGACGAUGUUAAUUUUUUUAAUGACUCGUUUGGCA